Molecule: RNA transcript, 1364 nt
Organism: Colias croceus (clouded yellow)
Lineage: Eukaryota; Metazoa; Arthropoda; Insecta; Lepidoptera; Pieridae
Exons: 4
Source: RefSeq, a predicted model, not a curated record
UAAAACAAAUAUAAAAUUGAUUUCGGCUAUGAUCGGAUUUCGGCACAUAAAUGUUUUGACUAUUUUCAGCGUCAAUUUAAGUUGUAUAUGGGCAUUACAUAACAGUUUCACAGAAAAUGAACCUACUCUCGAUGGCCAAGAAUAUAUCAAGAAAAUUGUUAAGGGGGAAAUUGUUGAUACUCUUAGUUAUAACACUACACAUCAACUCCAUCUUAUGUAUGUCUAUAUGGAGACGUUGGUGGACCCCGUCGACGAAAACAGACUUUAACUUUUUUCGAAGACAUGGCUCUAAUGAUGUAAAUAAUCAAGAACCUAUCGUGGAAUGUAAAUGUCCUCCUAAUAAAGAAUGCGCCCUUGAUUUUAAGAUCGAUGAAAAAAUGCUCCAUUUUCAACACCUACAAGGCAUCCUACGCGACAAUGACCUAAGGAGGUUCUAUGAAGAAAAUGUGAAUGAAGAAACUAAUAUCGUAAAAAAUACCCAAAGAAUAAGACGAAGCAACGAGGGUCCAGAGAAAUGUUGCUGUCCACCAACGAUUGUCAAAGUGCCCGCAUUUAUAACUGAAAAGCGAUUCAAAGACGUAAUCGAACGCUUCAAUAAAAUGUAACGUGUAAGGUUAUUAUGUAAUGAAGUAAAGAAUGGCGAUUGUUCGUACAUGAACUGAAUUUAACGCAUAGCAAUGGACUGAAAGUUUCGCAAUGCAUCAAAAGGAAUGCUCUGUGAAAUUCAUUUUUAUAUACAAGCAAUGUACCUAGUCGUAUUUCCAUACAUUCAUGUGCGACGCAAAGACCAGAGGUAUGAAUGAAACAUUCCGGUCUGACGUAAAAGUUUAUUGUAAUGGACAUAGUUCGCCGAACAAUUUUAAUUACGCCCUUACGUCAAACGAUAUUUUGUCCUGUUGGAAGCUGUUUAUGAUAUAUUUCAAUGACUAUUCUAUACGUGCAUGAAGCAUUUGGAAUGUAACGUUCUGGAACCUAUUAUCACGACCGGAGUCCGUAUUUUAACUAAACGCGUUUAUUGCAUUGCAAUCUCUUUCAUGGGAAUAAUAUGAAUGCAAAAUUUCAUAUUUUCCAUAAACUCAGCUCUAACCAUAUAAUGGUUUUACUAGAAUGUAAUAACAGAAACUGUUGCUUGUUUUGCAAUAUCUUUUCAAUUUCCAUUCUCUUACAAUGUACUCGGUAGUAAUAUGGAUUUUCAUAGUGAACUUUUUUUGCGCUGCAACUGAAAAUGAUACCGAUACAACAGGUGAUUGCACAAAAAAGCCACCAAUUGUUCUUGUGCCAGUGUUUAUUAAAUUGUAUCGAUAUCCACAAUUAAUUAAUCGUAAAACACGGAGAACAUCCAACAAAUUUGUAGAAUAAGUAAA